This 439-nucleotide ribosomal RNA is filed under the name uncultured bacterium. RNAcentral describes it as "partial 16S ribosomal RNA". It matches the Rfam family "Bacterial small subunit ribosomal RNA", at positions 339 to 795 of the family's 1533-position model. The record is from RNAcentral.
CUACGGGAGGCUCCAGUGGGGAAUAUUGCACAAUUGAGGAAACUCUGAUGCAGCAACGCCGCGUGGAGGAUGACACUUUUCGGAGCGUAAACUCCUUUUAUAUAGGAAGAAGAUGACGGUACUAUAUGAAUAAGCGCCGGCUAAUUCCGUGCCAGCAGCCGCGGUAAUACGGAGGGCGCAAGCGUUACUCGGAAUCACUGGGCGUAAAGAGCGUGUAGGCGGAUUAAAAAGUCAGAAGUGAAAUCCUAUAGCUUAACUAUAGAACUGCUUCUGAAACUCUUAAUCUAGAAUAUGGGAGAGGUAGAUGGAAUUUCUGGUGUAGGGGUAAAAUCCGUAGAGAUCAGAAGGAAUACCGAUUGCGAAGGCGAUCUACUAGAACAUUAUUGACGCUGAGACGCGAAAGCGUGGGGAGCAAACAGGAUUAGAUACCCUCGUAGUC